Molecule: long non-coding RNA, 3375 nt
Filed under: Homo sapiens (human)
Lineage: Eukaryota; Metazoa; Chordata; Mammalia; Primates; Hominidae
Description: HSALNT0268388
Source: RNAcentral
AAAUAAAAAGCUGAUUUAGGGGAACAGGAUCCCAGUGGUCAGCCAGUGAGUGGGGAGGCAAGUACCAACACCCGAGCACCCAACUUCUAGGCCAAGGCCCUCUGAAAAUGUUUUCUGCUCAAUCCUCUCUGCAGACAUCUUCUGCUGAGAAGUGUUCAGAUUUUUCUCAGAGGCUGAGUGAGGUCAAGUCAACCCAAUUCGUCCAUGUAAAUACAAGUGAUAUACCCUUUAAAAGGUGCUGGCAAGAGACGUGUUCACUUGAAGUCAAGCUUUUUUCUUUCUCUUGGACUCCAUAAUACCUGUCAUCAUUUAUUUAUAAUCCCACUGAGUAUCCUACUUAGGUUUUUUGGCACAUCUGGGCACUGAGCAAGGCUAAUUAAUCCCCCUUCCCCCAUGAAUUCCUGGGUAAGAAUAAUUGCUUUAUGAGGGUGGUUAUAGGGGUACCCGAAGCCUCAAGGAAAAUCAUUACAUCUCUGAGUGGAUGUCGCUCAGGACAACGGGUCUUUGCUGUGGCCCUGCCCAGACAAAGCACCAGCAGCCUGAGGGAUUUUUCCAUCAGCUUGGACUCCAGUCUUCUCACCCAUCUCUCUUUUGUCACACCCCAAAAUAAUAAUCAUAAUCAUAAUUAAAAACAGGAUAAUGGUGGAAUCUUCCUCUCAGGGUUGCUGAAAGAAGUAAAAAGAUAAUGCAAAUAAAGUGUUUCACACCUUGCCUAAAAGUAGUAAGUACUCAUUAAGGGAAGAGUAGUAGCAAUGCUAACAAUGACAAUAUCAGCUAACAUUGAUUGAGCACUUCCUGUAUACCAGGCCCUGUUCUAAAUGCUUUGCAUGCGUCUGAUCUCAUUUAAGAUUCUUUCCAGCUCUUUCACUCUCAGGCUGAAUAUUCUGAUAUAAACAAGACCUAUUAAAUGUUAGAUGAUACUUGAGUGAACAGAUGUCUGAUUCUAGUGCCUGUUCUAUUUUCCCCUAGCCUGAUUGUCUUUAUUAAGCCCUGGGUUUCCUGGCCCAAGUUCCUGGUAAGUGGAUGAACUUGGUUUUCUUUUCUUUCUUCAUUUUCAUUUUCUAAAUUAAAUAAAAUUUGUUUUAGAGUUGGAGUCUAUGUUGCCCAGGCUGGCCUUGCACUCUUGGGUUCAAAUGGUCCUCCCACCUCUGCCUCUCAAGUAUCUGGAAUUAUAGGCACAUACCCAGUGUGCCUGACUGAGCCUGGUUUUCUGACCAACCCAAACAUUUACCCAUCUCUCCUUCCUUUCUUUUGCCUAUCACCUAUCCAUCAACCUAAUCAUCCCCUCAUCCAUCUAUAUACUCAGCAACCAAAUUAUUCAACUACAUACCCACCCAUCCAUCUACCCACUCACUCAUCUAUUCGUUCACUCACCCACUUACUCAUCCAUCUUUCUUUCCAUUCAUUCAUAUAUUCUAUCCAUUAUCCAUCUUGCUACCUUCUCAUCCACCUACUUAUCCAUUUAUCCAUCUAUCCACCCAUCCGUACACCAUCUGUCUUUCCACUCAUCCAUCUAUCUGCCCAUUCACCCACCCACACAACUACUCCCUCAUCCACCCCAAAUAUUCAUGCAUCUAUCCACCACUCACUCGCCAGUCAUCCAUCCGUCCACCCUUCUAAUCUAUCCAUGUAUCUAUCUGCCCACCCAGCCAUCUCAACCCAUCUACCACCUAACAUUUGCAGUGAUGCUCUGUGCUAAUCCCUAGCUUGUUGUUUUGGGCUCCCUCCCUGGGAGGAAAGGUGAGUGCCAUCAGAGGGUCCCCACAGAGGAAGACAGAUAAACCAGUGAGCCUCUUUGUGGCCUGGACCUUCAAAGCCACUGACUUCCAGGGUCUGUGGCCAAACAAUGAUGAAAUGCACAUGGAAAAUGAGAAGCCCUGCAAUUACAUGGAAAGAGACAGAGGCUCAGCCCUCCCAAUGUUACAGCUGAAUGCAGCAUUCCAGGCAUCCCUACCAAGCCACUCCACCAUAGGGUGGAGAUGGAUGGAGGCACAUGCUUCCAGCAGAGCAAUUAGAGGUAAACUAAUAUCUCUUUCCCACAGAGGAGCCUGGGAACUCCAAGACGCAAUGGAAAGGAGGCGAGUCAGCAAAAGGAGGAAAUCAAAGCCACAGAGAUCAAGAGCUAAUUAACUGAUCCUCCUAAGAUAAUGUUUCAUUAAAAUCCAGUUCUUCUGCCCUGUGGGGACUGAUAUCUCUCCUACUGCCUCUCCAUUGCCCUUUUCCACCCAUUCCUGAUCUCAUCUGCCUCCGCUCUGAUCUUUCCCCAAGUCUUCUCCCUCCUCCAAUCCAACCUCCCCCCAGCUACUAGGGUAGACUUUUAAAGGCACAAGUCUGACCAUGUCACUCCCUAUUUAUAAGUCUUCACCACUCAUUGCCUGAGACAAAGGGCAAACUCCCAAGAUAAGGCAAAGGCCGUUCAUUCAUUUAACACAGAUUUCCUCAGUGCCUCUCCUCUCUCACAAGCUUGGGGAUGGUAGGACACAGAAACAAGUUUCUGACCCUUGCCCUGUUUCUCCAGCUUCUUUACCCACCACUCCUUUCCACAUUCCUGCAUUUCAGCAAAAACUUUCCAACCUCCGGCUUAGUGAUAGCCAGUCCCUAGGGAAACUGUUGUUAGUAUCCAUGCUUUGCUCAGCUCACUUCCACAUUGACUCUGGGCUUGGCCUUGUGACUUGCAUUUACCAGUGGAAUGUGGUGGCAGUAAUGCCAGUUCCAGGCCUAAGCCUUGAAAGGGUCGGGAAGCUUCUGCUUUUGUGCUCUUGGGAGCUCUGAACCACUGUGUAGGCAGCCAGGCUACCCUGCUGGAAGGGACCAUGUGGAAAAACCACAUGGAAAGUGAGAAGCCCUGCAAUUACAUGGAAAGAGACCAGAGGCUCAGCCCUCCCAAUGUUACAGCUGAAUGCAGCCUUCCAGCCAUACCUACCAAGGCACCAGGCAUAUGAAUGAAGUCGUCGUGGACGUCCCAGCCUCACCUAACAUCUGACUGCAGCUGCAUGAGAGACCCCCAAGUGAGAGCAGCAGCAGAACCAUCCAACUAUAAGCCCCAUUCUCUUUCUAUUAGUUCUUAUGAGAGCUAUUCAUUCUCAUGAGCUUUUUAGAAAGUGCCAACCUGGCUGGGCACUGUGGUUCACGCCUGUAAUCCCAGCACUUUGGGAGGCUAAGAUUGGUGGAUCACCUGAGGUCAGGAGUUUGAGACCAGCCUGACCAACAUGGUGAAACCCCGUCUCUACUAAAAAAAUUACAAAAAUUAGCCAAGCGUGUUGGCAGGCACCUGUAAUUCCAGCUACUCAGGAGGCUGAGGCAGGAGAAUUGCUUGAACCCAGGAGGUGGAGGUUGCAGUGAGCCAAGAUCAUGCUGCUAGACUCCAGCCUGGGC